CUACGUGCCAGCAGCCGCGGUAAUACGGAAGGUCCGGGCGUUAUCCGGAUUUAUUGGGUUUAAAGGGAGCGUAGGCUGGAGAUUAAGUGUGUUGUGAAAUGUAGACGCUCAACGUCUGACUUGCAGCGCAUACUGGUUUCCUUGAGUACGCACAACGUUGGCGGAAUUCGUCGUGUAGCGGUGAAAUGCUUAGAUAUGACGAAGAACUCCGAUUGCGAGGGCAGCUGACGGGAGCGCAACUGACGCUUAAGCUCGAAGGUGCGGGUAUCAAACAGGAUUAGAUACCCUGGUAGUCCGCACAGUAAACGAUGGAUGCCCGCUGUUGGUACCUGGUAUCAGCGGCUAAGCGAAAGCAUUAAGCAUCCCACCUGGGGAGUACGCCGGCAACGGUGAAACUCAAAGGAAUUGACGGGGGCCCGCACAAGCGGAGGAACAUGUGGUUUAAUUCGAUGAUACGCGAGGAACCUUACCCGGGCUUGAA
Molecule: ribosomal RNA, 481 nt
Filed under: uncultured bacterium
Lineage: Bacteria
Description: bacterial SSU rRNA
Rfam family: Bacterial small subunit ribosomal RNA
Source: RNAcentral